GAUGAAGAACGCAGCGAAAUGCGAUAAGUAAUGGGAAUUGCAGAAUUCAGUGAAUCAUCGAAUCUUUGAACGCACAUUGCGCCCGCCAGUAUUCUGGCGGGCAUGCCUGUUCGAGCGUCAUUACAACCCUCAGGCCCCCGGGCCUGGCGUUGGGGAUCGGCGGAAGCCCCCUGCGGGCACAACGCCGUCCCCCAAAUACAGUGGCGGUCCCGCCGCAGCUUCCAUUGCGUAGUAGCUAACACCUCGCAACUGGAGAGCGGCGCGGCCACGCCGUAAAACACCCAACUUCUGAAUGUUGACCUCGAAUCAGGUAGGAAUACCCGCUGAACUUAAGCAUAUCAAUAAGCGGAGGA
RNAcentral lists this unclassified non-coding RNA (353 nucleotides) under soil metagenome. Its description in RNAcentral is "partial contains 5.8S ribosomal RNA, internal transcribed spacer 2, and large subunit ribosomal RNA". The stretch from base 1 to 120 matches the Rfam family "5.8S ribosomal RNA", at positions 35 to 154 of the family's 154-position model. The record is from RNAcentral.